GUCCUAGCCGUAAACGGUGCACGUUUGCUGUAAAGGAAUCGACCCCUUUGUGGCGUAGCCAACGCGUUAAACGUGCCGCCUGGGAAGUACGGUCGCAAGAUUAAAACUCAAAGAAAUUGACGGGGGCCUGCACAAGCGGUGGAGUAUGUGGCUCAAUUCGAUGCAACGCGAAGAACCUUACCUGGCCUUGACAUGUAUGUAGUAGAAGGGUGAAAGCCUGACGAGGUAGCAAUACCAGCAUACACAGGUGCUGCAUGGCUGUCGU
Molecule: ribosomal RNA, 265 nt
Filed under: uncultured bacterium
Lineage: Bacteria
Description: partial 16S ribosomal RNA
Rfam family: Bacterial small subunit ribosomal RNA
Source: RNAcentral